GACGAACGCUGGCGGCGUGCUUAACACAUGCAAGUCGAACGAAGAGCGAUGGAAGCUUGCUUCUCUCAAUCUUAGUGGCGAACGGGUGAGUAACGCGUAAUCAACCUGCCCUUCAGAGGGGGACAACAGUUGGAAACGACUGCUAAUACCGCAUACGAUCUAAUCUCGGCAUCGAGGAUAGAUGAAAGGUGGCCUCUACAUGUAAGCUAUCACUGAAGGAGGGGAUUGCGUCUGAUUAGCUAGUUGGAGGGGUAACGGCCCACCAAGGCGAUGAUCAGUAGCCGGUCUGAGAGGAUGAACGGCCACAUUGGGACUGAGACACGGCCCAGACUCCUACGGGAGGCAGCAGUGGGGAAUCUUCCGCAAUGGACGAAAGUCUGACGGAGCAACGCCGCGUGAGUGAUGACGGCCGUCGGGUUGUAAAGCUCUGUUAAUCGGGACGAAAGGCCUUCUUGCGAAUAGUGAGAAGGAUUGACGGUACCGGAAGAGAAAGCCACGGCUAACUACGUG
This 510-nucleotide ribosomal RNA is filed under the name uncultured bacterium. RNAcentral describes it as "partial 16S ribosomal RNA". It matches the Rfam family "Bacterial small subunit ribosomal RNA", at positions 28 to 507 of the family's 1533-position model. The record is from RNAcentral.